CUCCCCGUAGUUUAAUGGAUGAGAAUGCUAGCCUACGAAGCUUGAGAUGCCUGUUCGAAUCGGGUCGGGGAGUCCA
RNAcentral lists this transfer RNA (76 nucleotides) under hydrothermal vent metagenome. RNAcentral's name for it is "tRNA-Arg-ACG". It matches the Rfam family "tRNA". From Rfam's summary of the family: Transfer RNA (tRNA) molecules are approximately 80 nucleotides in length. The record is from RNAcentral.